CUUUUCCCCAAGCUAAGUUUAGGGCAAGAGGCUCUUUUUGUUUGUGAAUGGAGGCAGUCUGAGGGUGAAACAGGAUGCCCCAAACAGAAGGAAGGGCCCAAGGAAAUCUGCCAUCUGGAGAGUGAGCUGUAGGGGCACCUUGGAUUCCUAUGCAGAAUUGUCCUUAGAUUUAGGCAACAGCCUGGCGAGCCUGACUCUUGCUGAACAGAGAGGCUGUGCCUCUCUCAUGUGAAGAGUGGAUGUCAUCCACACACGUGGGGGAAA
RNAcentral lists this long non-coding RNA (264 nucleotides) under Homo sapiens (human). Its description in RNAcentral is "non-protein coding lnc-CDH20-6:1". Lineage: Eukaryota; Metazoa; Chordata; Mammalia; Primates; Hominidae. The record is from RNAcentral.